RNAcentral lists this signal recognition particle RNA (299 nucleotides) under Saimiri boliviensis boliviensis (Bolivian squirrel monkey). Its description in RNAcentral is "Metazoan signal recognition particle RNA (ENSSBOG00000001833.1)". It matches the Rfam family "Metazoan signal recognition particle RNA". From Rfam's summary of the family: The signal recognition particle (SRP) is a universally conserved ribonucleoprotein. It is involved in the co-translational targeting of proteins to membranes. Lineage: Eukaryota; Metazoa; Chordata; Mammalia; Primates; Cebidae. The record is from RNAcentral.
ACCGGGCACAGUGGCACGUGCCUGUAGUUCCAGCUAUUCAGGAGGCUGAGACUGGAGGAUCUCUUGAGUCCAGGAGUUCUGGGCUGUAGUGAGCUAUGCCGAGUAGGUGUCUGCACUAAGUUUGGUAUCAAUAUGGUGACCUCCCAGGAGCGGGGGACCACCAGGUUGCCUAAGGAGGGGUGAACUGGCCCAGGUUGGUAAUGGAGCAGGUCAAAACUCCCGUGCUGAUCAGUAGUGGGAUCACACCUGUGAAUAGCCACUGCACUCCAGCCUGGGCAACAUAGUGAGACCCUGUCUCU